This 87-nucleotide non-coding RNA is filed under the name Pseudomonas sp. ok266. RNAcentral also lists the same sequence under 2 other names. The record is from RNAcentral. Lineage: Bacteria; Pseudomonadati; Pseudomonadota; Gammaproteobacteria; Pseudomonadales; Pseudomonadaceae.
CUUGAUGGUGGCUGUGCGCAUGGCACCUUCGGGUGCGCCGGGUUGGGGUUUGACCGGUCUGCUAACUUGCGCAUAGCCGCCACCCUA